RNAcentral lists this transfer RNA (76 nucleotides) under Bacteroidales bacterium. RNAcentral's name for it is "tRNA-Gly". It matches the Rfam family "tRNA". From Rfam's summary of the family: Transfer RNA (tRNA) molecules are approximately 80 nucleotides in length. The record is from RNAcentral. Lineage: Bacteria; Pseudomonadati; Bacteroidota; Bacteroidia; Bacteroidales.
GCGGGAGUAGUUCAGCUGGUAGAACAUCAGCUUCCCAAGCUGAGGGUCGCGGGUUCGAGUCCCGUUUCCCGCUCUA